GCAGAGGAAGCAGUCGGUGAGUUAUGCAAAUAGUACGGCAAAGAGCCUUCCGAGUCAACUCGGGGAGUUUCUAAGAGGAAUCAGAAGCUGAAAAGGGCUUCUACUCACCGCUGAAGAGCCUUCCCCAUUUGAGCCUGACAUAUUCUCGUCAUUGGGCAUAAUGCUAGCUCAUUCGUGAAUAUUCCUAAUUUCUUCGAUUGUAUGCACCGAUACUAGGUUUGGUAUUAUGCUAUCCUAACCUAACAUGCGAAUCAUCAGUUUAUCGAGGCUAUGACACAGCGACCGGGUGUAAUCAGGCUUAAAUUACCGGACGGUAAUAGUAAAACGUCGCAGGGACACUCGACUGAUAGAAAGCGAACAAAGAGAGACACUCCCUCCUAGGUUAGGUUUCAUGACUUGUCAUUGCCUGUCACGUGGCCGCCACAGCUGACACGUGUCUGAAAACAUACUGUUUUGACAGGGCUAAUGCCUAAUUUCCAUUCACGCGGAAAGUGCGCGGAAAGCACACGGGAUCAACGCGGAAAGCGUAGAGAUGAGUUGGGAGAUUGCUCACGGGCAGGGUCGUGCAAUCGCGACCUGUGCUGCCCCCGGUGGAGGCCGCGGACGGCUAACGCACUUGCCACCUCUUACCCCUCAAUGGUGGCGCCACCCAUUUCUGGUGGGGGCUCGCGCAACUCGAGUGGAAGGUCAGGUAUAUAUUGGAGACCGCGGCGCCAAUUCCGGCAUUCGCCCAUCAACUAGGGCGCCGUGCGGAUGUGGGCACGAGCUGUACAAAUGAAUAGCUUUCCAACUCCAAGAGGGCGAACCCUGCCACUCAUAAAUUACCAGCUAAUUCCUAAUGUCCACUGACGUUCCCCGACUAGACUUCUCGGGUUUAACUACCUAAGUAGAUUUUUUAUACUUAAUCGACCAGGCGAUUUUCCUCCGGUCCGCCUAGCAGUUAAAGUCACGCGAGGCUCGUAAAGGCCUGUUAGAUUUUACGAGAGCGGCUGGGAGAUAAGGAGUUUUUUUUACGAGGGCUUAAAGUCUGUCGAAAAAGCCCGCUGCCGGGGAAAGUCAUCCCUGGCCGCGCGUUUUGUUCCUUGCCGGUCUCCACGCUGUUAUUCCAACCUGGCGAGAUCGGGCGAAUACCUUUUUCAGUAUUUACGAGCGAUAAGUGAGAUCUAAAUUAUACCCCAUGUUUCCGUAAACAGAUGAUGGGCCGCACUGUGUCAUCAGCGGAAUAUUUCCGAAUGUUUAAUCCACCCGGGAGCGCCGCCCAACACCCUGGAGUCACGGACGGCCAAAUAACGCGAGCACGUGAGUAAACGCGCGGCUCUUUGAUCAGCUGAUUUACUCCAAAACAUUGGAAUCCUAGGAAUUCCCCGGUGUUUUUCCCAGCCCGGAUGAUGAGCCGUCCUGGAGUCCUAGGGGACGCUCCAGAUGACUCCAGGAGGCACUUCAAGAUAAAAGGGGAGAGACUCGUUCCCAUGAAUUCAUCGUUCAACAUUCCGGAAGGUUUCCUCGCGUACUUCCCAUGGACCAUGGAUGAACGAUUCAGGGAGCCUGCCGGUGAAGAACUCCACUUCCUAUCGGCUGACUCCUCGAGUGACCUCAGAAGAGACGAUAUCAUCGAUAAAGUGCAGCGGUAAUAAGGAAGCGCAAAACUUUCCACUGGACGUUUCGUCGAAAAAACGGGAGAGCGUUUACAAGGUGUUCAUAUGUUACGAUUAAUCCUACGUCUAGGAUUGUCCCUCGUCGCGAAGGUGGCCAAGUCCUAAUAAGAGUCUUGGUGGAGGCUUACUUCCAUAAAAACUAAUGUAAUUCGGUAUUCCUAUUCUCGCCUCGUCUCAGCCUUCGAACGACGGUCUCGUCGGCGUAAAUAUCGUCCAAGGACAAUGAUCUCGUCGCUCGUCAAAAACGGACAUCCUCGAAGAGAGUCGGAGGGGAGUAAAAUUGGCCGGUGAUAAGUAAAUUGUCGCGAAACGAGACACGAAGAAUGCAAACGGCAAUCUCGUGUAGAAUGCAGUAACAAACCGACGUUUAAGUGGUGGCGUUAUCGCCGAGAGUUUAUCGGAAAGUAGCGUCGUCGAAGGCCUUCCUUUAGAGGGCUGGGAACGAUCGGGAAAAUCUGUAUUCCCAACAAAAUACACUUGUCACGUCGAAAACACCUUUAUCAAGACUGAGACACCUGCGCCAAAUACGUAUAAGCACAUCGUCACCAUCACAAAACGAAUGGAGGACGAUUAUUACAUUAAAUCUACAAUUUCCAUUUUUUCUUUCAUCUUUACAAAAAGACGCGAAAUACGUAUUUGGCGCGAAACGCUGUCGGGUUUCUUGGUAAAGCAAUGAUUUUUACAAUCGGGACUGAAACGAAGUCCAGUUUUAUUAAUUGUAAGUGGCGUUAGAGCGAUCUACGCGAUAUAGGAAACAAAGAGAGCAGGGUGAACGCCAACUAAAGUGAAUGAUAUCUCUCAAUCCUCCGUAAAGAAGCGAUGUUUCCUCGUGUCCGUUCCUCGAAGAAUGUUUAAAUGCACGUCAACGCGACGUCCGAUGUCGGAUCAUGCCACUGGCUAGAAUUUCUCUCGGCAUUCGCGUCACGAUUCGCGUUCACACCGACCUUCGCACCCGUCCGUUUGCAAAUCGAGCCGAGUGAAAUAUAAAAUUUAAUAUCCACUCAGCGAAUGCUUGCUUCUUAUUGAAACGACGAAAAAGCGCCGCGGAAGUCUAACCUAAGAAGCGCGUAACUUGCGACUCGGGGGUUCCCACUCGUUCGCGAGAAUCAGGCAUUUUCUCGGCCCCUUCGUCGCGAGGAUGAAUUUAUGUAUUUAAGCGGAGCUUUUAGAGACCAGACCAAACAAUCGGUCGUCACGUUUUGACGUGACAUAAGGAAAUUAAUGCAUCCGGCCGCGCUUUGAAGUACACCUCGCUACGCGACGAUUUCCUGUUCCUCUGCCUGUUAUUUAUCAUUCGAAUUGCGCGCACAUCGGCCUUGCCUGUGUCCUCCACAUUCUGUCACAUUUUCAAUUAGUUUUAUGUGCUUCGAAACGUUUACGUGACGCAAAUCGUCAUUUUCGUACAACCCGCGCUUAGAUAGACGCUGGACGCGUCGCCAUGGCAACCGAUAAAAUGGCGGUCAAGAUGGCGGCCACGCCCGGCAAGAGCGCGUUUCGCGUCGCCGUUCGCAGAGGUUAAUCCGUAUCAGAUCGGGACUGAUAAAAAUGUGUGAAAAAGUGUGGCACCGAUACGAUGAUACCUUACGCCGACCGUGAAUUCGCGUUAAUCGCUUGAAUCGCAGGAUUUCGUAAUGACCUAAUGGUGCUUCGUUUGUCGUUCGUCACGCUUGUUUACGUUAGGAUGACAACCGCGUACGUGACGGCUCUUGUUAUUGCCCCGAUAUUUUCUGCUCGCCGUAGGUUGCCUCUAUUGCACCGCUUGUGUUUUUUUUUUAAGCGAUCUUGCGUGGGCGUGAAAUUUUUUAAGGUGUCGACGAGAAGAGAGGCGACACUGCGUUGUCGGAUAACGCGUUAUCGCGAGAAUGUCGAAAUAUCGCUCUCUGUCACUUAUAGCGCAUUCCGACGUCACCGUGACGCAAUGUAACAUUUUAAGACGCUGUGUCACAUUGUUUCGGCGAGCCAUAACUCGCACAGUAACGUAAUUUGCAAUGGCUUUGUAGCGAUUGCAUUUAGAGACUGGACAGUUUUUUAUCUUUCAUCUUGCACGUGGAAAGGAAGGAAAAAUCCCCAGGAAGAAAAAUCGGUUCUUUAUAUCACGUUGGUAGAAUUUCAUAUCAUUGAUUCGGCACGAACGCAGUAAUUGUAGUUUGAUAACCCCGAUGUCGAACGAUGUUAUCUUCACCUCAAAAGAUACCACAAUGAUAAGCGGUUCAUUGGAAUCUAUGAAAUGAAAAAUAACACAGCGCCAGCAUUUCCAAGACUCCCGCCUUGACGUUCGAUUCCAAACAUGCUGUAAAGCAAAUUACUGGUAUUCCCCUAAGCUUUGAUCUUAUCGAUUCGCUACAUAGAGUCAUUUUUAUUCUUUCCGGUGUGCAAAAGUCCAUUGGCUUUUCGAAGUUUAUCCCUGAAUCAUGAUUUCGCUAAUCUUGACAGGAUAUGUGAUACUAAUUGAUGAGGGUUCAAUGUAAUAUUCAAUUGACGUGGUUCGCAUAUCUUUGUUAGGCAAAUAUGAUAAAAUAUUAGCAGGCAAUUAGCCCGACGUAAUCUCAUCCUUGGUGUGAAAGUUUAGGUACAACUUCACAGCCUAUAAUGUUUAUUUCAUAGUCAUCUCUAUGUACACAUUUCGGUAUUACCUGUCGCUUAUCAUGUGGAUUACAAGUGCAUUCGUUGAUUGAUUAAGCAUCCAAUUGAUAACGUGAUGGACUCGACAGAGCAUCGGUAGAAUUUUAUCCCGAAAGUCUUACUCUCUACGAAUACUGCAGCUCACUGACCCAGUGAUCAUGACAUUUCUGGCUUUGCAAGCUAAAAAUCUUUCUACACUGGCAAUGGAAAUGUUUCGAUCCACAGAAACCAUCUUACAUAACCCGAAAUUGCUAAGCUGUCUAUUAGUAACUUCAUGAUUCAUGAGUCCCUUGAGAGUCUCCUCUUUAAAGUUAAUCGAUGAUUCAGUGUAUAUGUAUGUGUAUUUGUGUACGUCAUUUCAUCUAGGAAAAUCCAGAUUAAAGUUCUUACUUGCCGAAUGAUUUUAUUCGAUCAUUCGGCAGGGAAUGGACGUGUUCUUGCCACCGGAAUUAUUCUCUUUCUCACAGUUCCAACUCGAGUCGAGCAAUUGCUGGUCGAUCUCGUAGCUGGAACCCUGACAGACUCAAACUCUGUCGGUGCAUCUUCUCUUUGGAAUUCAUCUAAAUGUUGGCCAUCUGUCCUCGAUUCACUGUCACUGCAUCGAUCCAGAUUAAGGAGGUUGAUGGCGUUAACUCAUGGAAACGGCUUUUUACCGGCGAUAUUCUACGUCUCUGUGCGCCUCCGAGCCCUUCAACGGUUCAUGCUGCCGUAAUAGGGCGGACGUAUGCUUAUCCGUUCGCUUCCGUGGC
This is a long non-coding RNA of Orussus abietinus, 5026 nucleotides long. RefSeq lists it as uncharacterized. The transcript is spliced from 4 exons. The record is from RefSeq and is a predicted model, not a curated record. NCBI's taxonomy places the organism in Eukaryota, Metazoa, Arthropoda, Insecta, Hymenoptera, Orussidae.